GAUGAACGCUGGCGGCGUGCCUAAUACAUGCAAGUCGAGCGAACGGACGAGAAGCUUGCUUCUCUGAUGUUAGCGGCGGACGGGUGAGUCACACGUGGAUAACCUACCUAUAAGACUGGGAUCACUUCGGGACACCGUAGCUAAUACCGGAUAAUAUUUUGAACCGCAUGGUUCAAAAGUGAAAGACGGUCUUGCUGUCACUUAUAGAUGGAUCCGCGCUGCAUUAGCUAGUUGGUAAGGUAACGGCUUACCAAGGCAACGAUGCCUAGCCGACGUGAGAGGGGGGUCGGCCGCCCGGGAACGUAGACACGGUCCAGAGUCCUAAGGGAGGCAGCAGUAGGGAAUCGUCCGCAAUGGGCGAAAGCCUGACGGAGCAACGCCGCGUGAGUGAUGAAGGUCUUCGGAUCGUAAAACUCUGUUAUUAGGGAAGAACAUAUGUGUAAGUAACUGUGCACAUCUUGACGGUACCUAAUCAGAAAGCCACGGCUAACUACGUG
Molecule: ribosomal RNA, 497 nt
Filed under: uncultured bacterium
Lineage: Bacteria
Description: partial 16S ribosomal RNA
Rfam family: Bacterial small subunit ribosomal RNA
Source: RNAcentral